This 799-nucleotide long non-coding RNA is filed under the name Homo sapiens (human). Its description in RNAcentral is "long independently transcribed non-coding RNA 2253, transcript variant 2 (LINC02253)". The record is from RNAcentral. Lineage: Eukaryota; Metazoa; Chordata; Mammalia; Primates; Hominidae.
GGCAAACAGCGCAGGUCCGCUUCCCGUCUGUGGAAGCUUUGUUCUUUCGCUCUUGACAAUAAAUCUUAAUGCUGCUCUCUCUUUGGGUCCAUGCCAUCUUUAAGAGCUGUGACACUUACAGCCAAGGUCCGGGGCUCCAUUCUUGAAGUCAGCGAGACCACGAAUCCACCGGAAGGAGCAAACUCUGGACAUGGCAUGUGCUUUUGCAGGAAGGACGCUGGACUCUUGCACUAUAAGUUGAAAACAUCGCUUAUAAACAAUACAUCACAGCACACUUGCAGAGAGAGCACUGGUUCAUCAAAAUAAGAUAUGAUCAAGGUACAAAAGAGUUAAAGAAGCUAUUUAUUUUAAUGUUUCCUUGGAGAGCACACUUGUUAUUAUGCCUGCCCCAGCUUUGCCUUCCACCAUGAGUAAAAGCUUCCCAAGUCCUCCCCAGAAGCAGAUGCUGGCGCUAUGCUUCUGGUACAGCCUGAAAAACCUUGAGCCAAUUAAACCUCAGUGAGCUCAAGAUGUCUUUGUUGAAACAGAACCUCCCGAAGUUACAGUAUUGGUUUUGGGGCUCCACACAGAGAACACAUCACGGAAGCUAUAAUUGAGGAAGACAAAGCUGUCAGGACGACACCAAGAGAGUUAGAAAGCCCAAGAGUGGAGCAUUCUUCACCAUGAUUCCACCUGACACUUGGCUGAAAGCAUUUUGCACUAAUUUGCUUUGUGCCCGUUCAGACAAUCUAAAAAGAAAGGAUGGGGGGACAACAAGUGUCUAUUACACAGAAUAAACAGCCUCUGGCAAAUGAAUACA